RNAcentral lists this ribosomal RNA (292 nucleotides) under uncultured bacterium. RNAcentral's name for it is "partial 16S ribosomal RNA". It matches the Rfam family "Bacterial small subunit ribosomal RNA", at positions 505 to 796 of the family's 1533-position model. The record is from RNAcentral.
GUGCCAGCAGCCGCGGUAAUACGGAGGGUGCAAACGUUGCUCGGAAUCAUUGGGCGUAAAGCGCGCGUAGGCGGUUGGACAAGUUGGAUGUGAAAGCCCUGGGCUCAACCUAGGAUGUGCAUUCAAAACUGUCCGACUUGAAUCUCGGAGGGGGUCAGAGAAUUCCCGGUGUAGAGGUGAAAUUCGUAGAUAUCGGGAGGAACACCAGUGGCGAAGGCGCUGACCUGGACGAUGAUUGACGCUGAGGCGCGAAAGCGUGGGGAGCAAACAGGAUUAGAUACCCGCGUAGUCC